GCCGGCGUAGCUCAGUGGUAGAGCAGCUGAUUCGUAAUCAGCAGGUCGCGGGUUCGACUCCCAUCGCCGGCUCCA
Molecule: transfer RNA, 75 nt
Filed under: Deltaproteobacteria bacterium
Lineage: Bacteria; Pseudomonadati; Myxococcota; Myxococcia
Also listed under: 3 other names
Description: tRNA-Thr
Rfam family: tRNA
About the family: Transfer RNA (tRNA) molecules are approximately 80 nucleotides in length. Their secondary structure includes four short double-helical elements and three loops (D, anti-codon, and T loops).
Source: RNAcentral